This 297-nucleotide ribosomal RNA is filed under the name Triticum aestivum (bread wheat). RNAcentral's name for it is "partial small subunit ribosomal RNA". Lineage: Eukaryota; Viridiplantae; Streptophyta; Magnoliopsida; Poales; Poaceae. The record is from RNAcentral.
GUGAUCUUUGCGGACCAUAUGAGUCGGGGCUUCGCACCGCCCGGCUCAAAAUUCUUCCGGGAUGUGCUCAACUUCUUUGACCUUCGACCUCAGGAUAUAGGACCCAAUUCCAUAUCCAACAUCUGCAAUUUCCAAGUCUUUUGUGAAGUAUAUCUUGGAGAAGAGCCGAGUCUGCUGCUCUUCAGAGAGCUGUUUUAUUUAAACUGCCAGAAUGAGUGUGCCAACGGGCCAAGUCUAGAGUUAGGCGGCAUCUCCAUCCAGCGACGUAGGGACUGUCUGUUCCCUUACGCAGAACCG